This 523-nucleotide ribosomal RNA is filed under the name uncultured bacterium. RNAcentral describes it as "partial 16S ribosomal RNA". It matches the Rfam family "Bacterial small subunit ribosomal RNA", at positions 355 to 871 of the family's 1533-position model. The record is from RNAcentral.
UGGGGAAUAUUGCACAAUGGGCGCAAGCCUGAUGCAGCCAUGCCGCGUGUGUGAAGAAGGCCUUCGGGUUGUAAAGCACUUUCAGCGAGGAGGAAGGUGGUGAACUUAAUACGUUCAUCAAUUGACGUUACUCGCAGAAGAAGCACCGGCUAACUCCGUGCCAGCAGCCGCGGUAAUACGGAGGGUGCAAGCGUUAAUCGGAAUUACUGGGCGUAAAGCGCACGCAGGCGGUUUGUUAAGUCAGAUGUGAAAUCCCCGGGCUCAACCUGGGAACUGCAUUUGAAACUGGCAAGCUAGAGUCUCGUAGAGGGGGUAGAAUUCCAGGUGUAGCGGUGAAAUGCGUAGAGAUCUGGAGGAAUACCGGUGGCGAAGGCGGCCCCCUGGACGAAGACUGACGCUCAGGUGCGAAAGCGUGGGGAGCAAACAGAUUAGAUACCCUGGUAGUCCACGCUGUAAACGAUGUCGAUUUUGGAGGUUGUGCCCCUUGAGGCGUGGCUUCCGAGCUAACGCGUUAAAUCGACCG